Molecule: transfer RNA, 73 nt
Filed under: Gymnothorax niphostigmus (snowflake-patched moray)
Lineage: Eukaryota; Metazoa; Chordata; Actinopteri; Anguilliformes; Muraenidae
Description: tRNA-Leu (CUN)
Rfam family: tRNA
About the family: Transfer RNA (tRNA) molecules are approximately 80 nucleotides in length. Their secondary structure includes four short double-helical elements and three loops (D, anti-codon, and T loops).
Source: RNAcentral
GUCUCUGAAGGAUAAUAGUUCAUCCAUUGGUCUUAGGAACCAAAAACUCUUGGUGCAACUCCAAGCACAGACU